Molecule: long non-coding RNA, 2334 nt
Filed under: Malus domestica (apple)
Lineage: Eukaryota; Viridiplantae; Streptophyta; Magnoliopsida; Rosales; Rosaceae
Description: long non-coding RNA (MDOM_LNC000953)
Source: RNAcentral
GGCAAAGAAGGCAGAGAUUGGCAACGAGACUUUAGGUUUAUGAAGAAUCCUAAAACAACCAAAUCAUCCAGUCAUUCAAUCGAAAUUAAUCAAAUCCCAAGUGUCGGUUCCAUCAAUAAAGAGACAGAGAUAGAGAUAAUGUUAGACCAUAUCAUGACUCAUUGUGUAGGGCCAUAUCAUAGUAUGGGCCUUGCAACUUUAUAUUUACUGGAAAAUGGUUAUCGCCGGAUUCUUGUUAUGGAGAUUCUAAAGAUUUUGCGAUCGUGAUAGUUCAUCGUAUAUCGUACAGUUAAUUUUUGUUAGAUGCCAUUUAUAUUUAAUUUUAAAUUUUAAAUUUUGAAAUCAUUUCUGACCUCAUAAUGUACGAUGAAUAGUCACGAUCUCGGAAUCUUUAAGAUCUCUAGAAAAAAGAUCCGCCAAGAAUCCUUUUCCAUAUUUAUUAUUAUCCUUUAUGAUAUUUGUAAUGGUCGUUGGUUGGUGACUCAGCACUUGUGCUCUUUUGCCUGUUUUUGCUAAUGGAGAUAUAAGUCUGCAGUGUAUCUCCUUUUGGGUUAUGAAAUGAAUUAGGGUAAAUUACAAUUUAUCCUCCUCAAGUUUGGAGGCAAUUGCAACCUCAUACAAUUAGGGAUGAGCAAAAUUCUCGCGCUUAUAGGUAACCAUGGUUACAUGCUCAUUUAAACUUCAUGGUUACGAUUAUAGGUAACCGUUUAGAUAAAUAAACGGUUAUGGAUAUAACCGUUUACUCGUGACAUUUAAAUGAGUAAUUAUAGGUAUUAACCGCGGUUAUAAACAGAUAACCGUUUAUCUAUUUAUUUUAUAUAUGUAAAAUUAAUGCAAACCAUGUUCUCUAUCGGACAAAACUUAGAUCAAUGCUAUUGAUUGUAAUGCAUGGUUUAUGUAGCUAAUUAUAAUAUAAUGUAGCUCAUUAUAUAUAUAUAUAUAUAUAUAUAUAUAUAUAUAUAUAUUAUGUUAAUACUUUACAUUCUGGGUUAAAUAACCCAAAAAUAUUGUCUUCCAAAUCGUUCUUGUAACCCAAGAAUACUUGACAAAUAUUAUAUUACCUUCAUUGGUAACAGUUAAAAAUAUCGUUCGUAAACUAUUAUUUCAAUUAUUGGAAUGGUAUAAGGACUUAAAAAUUAAAAUACGGAAAUGUAUGAUAAUGUACCUAUACCGAUGUUUAAUUGUCAAAAAGAAAAAAUGAUAAACAGGUUAAAAAAGGGUAAAUUGGUAAACGGGUAUUAAACGGUUACGAUUAAAUGAGUAUGCGGUUAUGAGUAUGGUUAACCGUUUAUAAACGGUUAUGGGUAUAUGUAUAACUGUUUAGGCAAUUACCAAAUGGGUAAACGGUUAUGUGGGUAUGAGCAUAAACGGCUAUGGGUAAAUAACCGCGGUUAUCCGCCCGCCAUAACCUUUGUCCAUUCCUAUAUACAACAUCUUUAAAACAUUUCAAUCUCAUACAUUUAUUUAUCUUUUGUUUCAAUUUUAUACCUUCGUUACAAAAUUUGUUAACUUGGCCGUUAAGUGAUGAUGUGUUAAAUAUGAAGUCUACGUUUUAAUGAUGUGGCAAAUAAAAAAAAAACUAAUUAUUAAAGAAAAUUAAUUUAAAAAGUAAAAAUGGGCCACCCUUCAUCUUUUAUUAAUUAAUUUUUUUAUUUGGUAUCCAUAUGGUGUCAAGUUGGUAGCCACAUCAGCGAAAAGGUAGAUUGUAUAUUUGCCACAUUAUCAUUUAAUGGCUAAUUUAACAGAUUUUCUAACGGAUGUAUGAUAUUGAAAUGAAAUAGGAUAAGUAAUGUAUAAGAUUGAAAUGUUUUAAAGAUAUUGUAUGAGAUUGUAAUUGCACCUAAACUUAAAGGAGUAAAAUGUAAUUUACCCAAUGAAUUAAUCUUUUAACUUUUCUUCACUUUCUCUUUUACUCUUACUUUUCUUCCUCUGUGCGAUUGGUACCUGACAUUUGGUAUCACGAGCCCAGGUGUGCUUCCAUGGGCAAGAGCAAGGCAUCCGUGACGGUGGUCGAUAUGUUUGAGACGGAGCUUAACAAGGAAUUUCAGCAACAGCAAAUUUUCACACAGCUUAAUGACUUCCAUGAUACGAUGACAAUGAUGAAUCUCUACCAUGACGAUCUACAACACCACAUCGCCGAUCUGCAACACUCUUUCGCAGAUAUGUCCGUCAACUGAGCUCGGUAUGAGAACUUCCAACAGACUGUGCUUGAAGAGCUCCAUUCUCUUAAAACUCAACACCCAACCAACCCGUUUCCCAAAUCCCAAUCGGUUCCAUACCGAUUUAUCUCGGCUCCACCCUUUUUUCCACAGCUCACACCACCCUUACUCUACC